RNAcentral lists this ribosomal RNA (253 nucleotides) under uncultured bacterium. Its description in RNAcentral is "partial 16S ribosomal RNA". It matches the Rfam family "Bacterial small subunit ribosomal RNA", at positions 524 to 776 of the family's 1533-position model. The record is from RNAcentral.
UACGUAGGGCGCAAGCGUUAUCCGGAAUUAUUGGGCGUAAAGAGCUCGUAGGCGGUUUGUCACGUCUGCUGUGCAAAUUCGAGGCUCAACCUCGGACUUGCAGUGGGUACGGGCAGGCUAGAGUAAUGUAGGGGAGACUGGAAUUCCUGGUGUAGCGGUGGAAUGCGCUGAUAUCAAGAGGAACACCGAUGGCGAAGGCAGGUCUCUGGGCAUUUACUGACGCUGAGGAGCGAAAGCGUGGGGAGCAAACAGG